GACGAACGCUGGCGGCGUGCCUAAUACAUGCAAGUAGAACGCACAGUUUAUACCGUAGCUUGCUACACUAUAGACUGUGAGUUGCGAACGGGUGAGUAACGCGUAGGUAACCUGCCUGGUAGCGGGGGAUAACUAUUGGAAACGAUAGCUAAUACCGCAUAAUAUUAAUUAUUGCAUGAUAAUUAAUUGAAAGGUGCAAUUGCACCACUACCAGAUGGACCUGCGUUGUAUUAGCUAGUAGGUGAGGUAACGGCUCACCUAGGCGACGAUACAUAGCCGACCUGAGAGGGUGAUCGGCCACACUGGGACUGAGACACGGCCCAGACUCCUACGGGAGGCAGCAGUAGGGAAUCUUCGGCAAUGGACGAAAGUCUGACCGAGCAACGCCGCGUGAGUGAAGAAGGUUUUCGGAUCGUAAAGCUCUGUUGUAAGAGAAGAACGGGUGUGAGAGUGGAAAGUUCACACUGUGACGGUAUCUUACCAGAAAGGGACGGCUAACUACGUG
RNAcentral lists this ribosomal RNA (505 nucleotides) under uncultured bacterium. RNAcentral's name for it is "partial 16S ribosomal RNA". It matches the Rfam family "Bacterial small subunit ribosomal RNA", at positions 28 to 507 of the family's 1533-position model. The record is from RNAcentral.